CCCUUAGAUGUUCUGGGCCGCACGCGCGCUACACUGAUGCAUUCAACGAGUCUAAAACCUGCUCUGAUAGGGGUGGGUAAUCUUUUGAAUGUGCAUCGUGAUUGGGAUAGAUGAUUGCAAUUUUUCAUCUUCAACGAGGAAUGCCUAGUAAACGCAAGUCAUCAGCUUGCAUUGAUUACGUCCCUGCCCUUUGUACACACCGCCCGUCGCUCCUACCGAUUGAAUGAUCCGAUGAAUAUCAUGGAUUGAGGAUGCAAGCAGGUUCGCCUGUCUUCAUCUUCGAGAAGCGAAGUAAAUCUUAUCAUUUAGAGGAAGGAGAAGUCGUAACA
RNAcentral lists this ribosomal RNA (329 nucleotides) under uncultured eukaryote. RNAcentral describes it as "partial 18S ribosomal RNA". It matches the Rfam family "Eukaryotic small subunit ribosomal RNA", at positions 1470 to 1796 of the family's 1831-position model. The record is from RNAcentral.